UACGUAGGUGGCGAGCGUUGUUCGGAUUUAUUGGGCGUAAAGGGUUCGUAGGUGGUUCGCUAAGUCUGACGUGAAAUCCCGUGGCUCAACCACGGAACUGCGUUGAAGACUGGCGGACUUGAGUAUUGGAGAGGUAAGCGGAAUACCAGGUGUAGCGGUGGAAUGCGUAGAUAUCUGGUAGAACACCGAGAGCGAAGGCAGCUUGCUGGACAAUAACUGACACUGAGGAACGAAAGCGUGGGGAGCAAACAGGAUUAGAUACCCUGGUAGUCCACGCCGUAAACGUUGUCAACUUGAUGUGGGAGGAUUUAGUCCCUUCCGUAUCGAAGCUAACGCGAUAAGUUGACCGCCUGGGGACUACGGCCGCAAGGCUAAA
This 376-nucleotide ribosomal RNA is filed under the name uncultured bacterium. RNAcentral's name for it is "bacterial SSU rRNA". It matches the Rfam family "Bacterial small subunit ribosomal RNA", at positions 524 to 898 of the family's 1533-position model. The record is from RNAcentral.